GGUCUGUGCAUAAGGAAAGUUGCCUGUCA
This 29-nucleotide non-coding RNA is filed under the name Mus musculus (house mouse). The record is from RNAcentral. Lineage: Eukaryota; Metazoa; Chordata; Mammalia; Rodentia; Muridae.